CGUAUCCAUGGAAGCGGGGAGAGCCCCCGGUCUUCUUCCCCCGUCUGACAGACGCCCUCUGGGCAAACCCGUCGUGGGGGUACGUCGAGCAUCGGUUCUGGCACGACGUCGUGGACGAGCGAGGAAUCGUGACGGCGGACCUGAGAGUCCUCACGACCAGGGGCACCGAUGAGAUGGCGCGCGAACUGGCGGCGGAGGCGAAGGCGGCGGCGGCGGAGAAGGUGACGCAUUUCCGCGCUUGCGAUACGAUGUGCAAGGACACUGGUCGCGUCCCCGCUGCGCCGUGACGCACUGCGGUCGUUAGCGGCCACUUUGACGCGCCAUCUUGAAACUGUUUAUGGGGCAACCCGCCUGGCAUGCAGGCAGCAGCGGCAGACCCGGCUGCGAAACAGGAGGUGGAAGCGGGAGCUGCCGCGCCGGCGGCUGCCGCAGCUGCCGGGGGCGAAGGGGACGCCGGCAACGGUGCCCUGGGCGCGGC
This 478-nucleotide long non-coding RNA is filed under the name Coccomyxa subellipsoidea. Its description in RNAcentral is "long non-coding RNA (CSUB_LNC000652)". Lineage: Eukaryota; Viridiplantae; Chlorophyta; Trebouxiophyceae; Coccomyxaceae. The record is from RNAcentral.